CGCUGGCGGCAUGCCUAACACAUGCAAGUCGAACGAACCCUUCGGGGUUAGUGGCGCACGGGUGCGUAACGCGUGGGAAUCUGCCCUUUGCUUCGGAAUAACUCAGGGAAACUUGUGCUAAUACCGGAUGAUGUCGAAAGACCAAAGAUUUAUCGGCAAGGGAUGAGCCCGCGUAGGAUUAGGUAGUUGGUGGGGUAAAGGCCUACCAAGCCGACGAUCCUUAGCUGGUCUGAGAGGAUGAUCAGCCACACUGGGACUGAGACACGGCCCAGACUCCUACGGGAGGCAGCAGUGGGGAAUAUUGGACAAUGGGCGAAAGCCUGAUCCAGCAAUGCCGCGUGAGUGAUGAAGGCCUUAGGGUCGUAAAGCUCUUUUACCAGGGAUGAUAAUGACAGUACCUGGAGAAUAAGCUCCGGCUAACUCCGUGCCAGCAGCCGCGGUAAUACGGAGGGAGCUAGCGUUGUUCGGAAUUACUGGGCGUAAAGCGUACGUAGGCGGUUAUUCAAGUCAGAGGUGAAAGCCCGGGGCUCAACCCCGGAACGGCCUUUGAAACUAGGUAGCUAGAAUCUUGGAGAGGUCAGUGGAAUUCCGAGUGUAGAGGUGAAAUUCGUAGAUAUUCGGAAGAACACCAGUGGCGAAGCGGACUGACUGGACAAGUAUUGACGCUGAGUACGAAAGCGUGGGGAGCAAACAGGAUUAGAUACCUGGUAGUCCACGCCGUAAACGAUGAUAACUAGCNUGUCCGGCACUUGNGCCUGGGUGGCGCAGCUACCGCAUUAAGUUAUUCCGCCUGGGGAGUACGUCC
Molecule: ribosomal RNA, 805 nt
Filed under: uncultured bacterium
Lineage: Bacteria
Description: bacterial SSU rRNA
Rfam family: Bacterial small subunit ribosomal RNA
Source: RNAcentral